ACAGGGAUUGCCUCAGUAACGGCGAGUGAAGCGGCAAAAGCUCAAAUUUGAAAUCCCCCGGGAAUUGUAAUUUGAAGGUGGCCUCAGUUAGUCCAAACAUUCUUAAGUCCAUUGGAAAAUGGCGCCAUGGAGGGUGAUAGCCCCGUAAAGAUGUCGUUUGUUCUAUUUUCUCUGGCCACCAAAGAGUCGAGUUGUUUGGGAAUGCAGCUCUAAGUGGGUGGUAAAUUCCAUCUAAAGCUAAAUAUUGGCGAGAGACCGAUAGCGAACAAGUACAGUGAUGGAAAGAUGAAAAGCACUUUGAAAAGAGAGUGAAAAAGUACGUGAAAUUGUUGAAAGGGAAGGGCUUGCAAGCAGACACAACCUCGUGUUGGGCCAGCAUCGGGGCGAGAGGAAGUAAAAACGAUUUGGAAAUGUAACUUUCGAGUAUUAUAGAC
Molecule: ribosomal RNA, 434 nt
Filed under: Metschnikowia australis
Lineage: Eukaryota; Fungi; Ascomycota; Pichiomycetes; Serinales; Metschnikowiaceae
Description: partial large subunit ribosomal RNA
Rfam family: Eukaryotic large subunit ribosomal RNA
Source: RNAcentral